This 586-nucleotide long non-coding RNA is filed under the name Equus caballus (horse). Its description in RNAcentral is "lncRNA (ENSECAG00000059996.1)". The record is from RNAcentral. Lineage: Eukaryota; Metazoa; Chordata; Mammalia; Perissodactyla; Equidae.
CUUGACAGUCUGUUGACAGCCAUCAGGGUCCUUCAUCCUCUACUGGGAAGCUAUACAAUUCAAAAGAAGCAUCAGGAACUUCCUCAGAGUACUGCUAAGGCAGGCUUAAUUUGCAGCAGAAAGCCUUUUAUGAGGAACUAGCAGAAGGAAUUGAUCAAACCUGAAGCUUUACAGAAGCGAAUUCUCCUUUGGGUCUAUGUGGAGGAUGACAGGGCCUCCUGGCAAAAUGAAAUGCCCCCUUUAGAGCAGAUCCGGUAACUUCCCACAGCACUAAACCAACAGGCAGAGCUGUCAAGGGCUUCAGUCACUUGUUUUCUGUCUUCAUCAAGAGAAGAGCACAAAACUGCCGGACCCAGAGCUCACUUAGUUGGUGUGUUACCUUCCUAUCGCUGCUGUAACAAAUUGCCACAAACUUAGUCACUCAACACAAGGUUAUUAUCAUCUAGUUCUGGAGGUCGGAAGUCUGAAGUCAGUUUCACUCGGAUUUAGCCAAGUGUCUACAGGUCCGGUUCCUUCUGGAGACUUCAUUUCCUUGCCUUUUCCAGCUUUUCAAGGCUGCUGCAUUCCUUGCCUCCUGGCUCCUUCC